GUGACCUUAUAUUUAUGUUUUCAAAACCAUACCAAAUUCAUAGAAAGACAGCUGAAAGAUCCUGGAACGUCGCGAAUCCUGUGGAAGUCAGCUUCAUGUACUUGACAGAGCCCUAUGACUCCAUACGCUGCUCAGCGAUGGGCGUAUCCGCCACAAGAGGAACAGAGGUGACAGCUGUUGGACCUACUCCUACUACAACAGAAUUAACGUGACCAGGUUUCUGGGCGAAUCCGUAGGCAUAAUCGGUACCGGGGACGCGGAGAAGCCACGCAACACUGCUGAGUAUGAAGUGUCUGCUCUUUUGGACAGAUGUCGGCAGCCAUAAGAAAUCAGCCAAAGGAUGACCAGGCUGCGGGUCCGUUGUCGCCCUCAACGCGUAUUAAGUCCGAGCGCAUGUCCAAGAUUUCCUCUGUGGCGGAUACGGUGCCACGCUCAACAUCACGUUACGUUUGCCUACAGCACCACCACGAAUGUCAGUAAAAUGCUGGCCCAUCAAUCCCAUCAAUGCGCCGCCCUGCUCCACCGCGAUCUGCGACUAGUCCGACUCCAAUUACAAGAGCAAAGAGAUACAGGAGGAGGAGUUGGAGCAUGGCUCCGGCAAGCAUCCCACCGAACACCAAUUUUUUGUAUAGAUUGAUAUUAUUUGGUUGCUCUAGCUCUUAUAAUCUCUGAGCACUAGACGCUCAUAGGGACAGACAGACAGACAUGGCUCUAUCGACUCGCUCAAGAAUUGGUUCUGCCGACCGUGCGCAGUAGAAGAGAAAAAACUUAGUUUCGUCUCUUUUGCGGCUGCGUCGUUAGCACUCUUUUGCUUUCUUCGCUUUGCAUUUGUUGUGUGCUGUGAUUUUGUAAUUAUUAUCAGGAAAACGCAGUGUUUAAAUACUGUACAAAAUAAUUAUAAAUUGUAUAAAAAUUAAAUUUAUGACGGGACAAACCUUCACAACGUAGGAGCAACACUAAUAGAGAGUAAUAUUAAGUAUAGUUGAGUUACACAGUGUAAGGACCUUUAAAAAGUAUAUUAUUUUAUCCAAUAUCUAUAUGCCUGAGGAUAUACAAAUUCUGGACAGAACGAAAAAUUAUGGUACUGAACCAGCAGAUUCCAGAUUUAUUCGACAAGAGAAUGGUUUAUUCGAAAUAGCAGAUACAUGAGAAUUAAAAUAUAAUUUAGGUACAAAGAUAAUGCCCAAGUCAUUAACUUUGUAUAGGCGUUCCAAGGAAAUGUUAUUAAUUGAGAAGUCAGACCUUUGUAAAGGCCAUAUUUUAAAAGACUUAACUGGGAACUAGACAAGAAAUCUAUCUCCUCAAAAGUGCAAGUCCAAUCAUUCCCAGUCAGUAAUAGGUUCAGUUGUGUGGAGGCCCGAAGGAGUCCUUGGCUUUAUGAAAAGGUAGUCUGAGGAAUUUUCUUACCCCUAUACCAUAAACUAAUCUACUUUUCUCUUUUCUGGUUCCUGUAUCUCGUCUCCUCACUACCAAAAAUAUCAAGAUAUGUUUCUGGUACCAUAUGUGUUUACAAUAAAUAGUUCCAUCGUCUUGCCUUUGAUACUUA
This is a long non-coding RNA of Drosophila miranda, 1546 nucleotides long. RefSeq lists it as uncharacterized. The transcript is spliced from 2 exons. The record is from RefSeq and is a predicted model, not a curated record. Lineage: Eukaryota; Metazoa; Arthropoda; Insecta; Diptera; Drosophilidae.